This 77-nucleotide transfer RNA is filed under the name Pseudomonadota bacterium. RNAcentral's name for it is "Proteobacteria bacterium tRNA-Arg". It matches the Rfam family "tRNA". Rfam says of the family: Transfer RNA (tRNA) molecules are approximately 80 nucleotides in length. Their secondary structure includes four short double-helical elements and three loops (D, anti-codon, and T loops). Lineage: Bacteria; Pseudomonadati; Pseudomonadota. RNAcentral also lists the same sequence under 1 other name. The record is from RNAcentral.
GGCUCCUUAGCUCAUCAGGAUAGAGCAUUCGUUUCCUAAACGAAGGGUAGUGGGUUCGAGUCCCUCAGGAGCCGCCA